This 68-nucleotide transfer RNA is filed under the name Degeeriella rufa. RNAcentral's name for it is "tRNA-Ser". Lineage: Eukaryota; Metazoa; Arthropoda; Insecta; Psocodea; Philopteridae. The record is from RNAcentral.
AAUUAUCUAGUUUAUGAAGAACAGCCGCCUUGAAAGCAGCAGGUAGUGAGAAGAAUCACUGGUAAUUU